Molecule: small RNA, 28 nt
Filed under: Bombyx mori (domestic silkworm)
Lineage: Eukaryota; Metazoa; Arthropoda; Insecta; Lepidoptera; Bombycidae
Description: ovarian small RNA-35611
Source: RNAcentral
UGUCAGCUGUCCCAUCCCUCAGAAUGUG